CCAUUUUGUAAAGGAAUAAAUAAUAUGAAAAAUAGAAAAAUUCCAAUAAAAAAAAAAAAUACAGACGUCUUUGACAAAAAAAAAAAAAAAAAAAAAUACAGACAUCAGAGCAAACGAAGUGUUGAGGAAAGCAGACCACCAAGUCGACCACGAACACGACGUCCAACGGCCAAGGGACAUGGCAGCGAUGCUGUACCAGGUGGCCAAAACGACGUCGCAGAACCUGGUGACCUCUCCUCCAAAGCAAACGAGGCCCACCUCGCCGACAACCCAGAAAUCGUCGAAGCGGCCGAGGUUGUCGAAGAGGAAGGAGAUGGAGACUGAGAGCAGCUCAGUGAAGGCGAGCAGCAGCAGCAGUAGCAACGAACAUCGCGUGCCGCUCUCCGCCGUCGUGUCGGACUGCAUAAAGCGGUGGUUCAAGGACACGCUCAAGGAGGCCAAAGAUGGCGAUAUUAACAUGCAGGUUUUGGUGGGACAGAUGUAUUACAACGGCUAUGGCGUCCCCAGAGAUGACCACAUGGGAAGAGUAUGGAUUACAAGAGCGUCGAGGACGCGAUCUUCGGUUUGGAAAGUUAGUGAUAAGCAGCCAGGUUAUAAUGCAAGUGACUCAGAUUCAGAUGAACUGAAGGGUGAUUCUUAGCACGACGAAGUUGGCCUUCGUGUCCGAUCAAAUUUUGAGCUGAUUUUCAAGCUUAGAAUUUGCUCCUUUCCUUCCCUUCUACCAAGACAAGAGGAUGGAGCAACAGAUGUCGUAGGCUGUGCUUGGAGUCGUGCUGACCCUCGCCCGUCAUGGAUGUGCCUGUAACAAGAUUUAUACUUUCUUCAGUUAAUUUUGUUUAUUUUCUGGACGUAUCAAUGUACCUAAGCCUUUAUUUUCAUGGGAAGACAAUCAUUUGUUAA
This is an RNA transcript of Pyrus x bretschneideri (Chinese white pear), 900 nucleotides long. RefSeq lists it as uncharacterized. NCBI's taxonomy places the organism in Eukaryota, Viridiplantae, Streptophyta, Magnoliopsida, Rosales, Rosaceae. The transcript has 6 exons. The record is from RefSeq and is a predicted model, not a curated record.